Molecule: long non-coding RNA, 425 nt
Organism: Bos taurus (domestic cattle)
Lineage: Eukaryota; Metazoa; Chordata; Mammalia; Artiodactyla; Bovidae
Source: Ensembl
GGGCGGUGUGGAGCUCUAAGGCGUAGGAGCCUCGGGGAGGGUGAGCCAAGAGGGACGUGGCGCUCUGCGGCGCGGACUAGGAAGCCGCGCCCCUUCCUUCUCGGGCUUUCAUGGAGAAUCCUGUGGAGCAGGAUUUGGGUAAAACUCCAAACUUGGGGCUUUGGCACUAAUGGAAAAUCUCCUGAUGGGGAGAAGGACGAAGAACACACUACUGCACUGUUCAAGGAAGAAAACAAGGCUUUGGAGUCAAAACUAGGUCCCAACCCUGCCUAAAUUAAAAACCCGGUUCUAUCUUUAUUAGUUGAGUGUCCUCUGCCAAGUAACUUAACCUUUGUCCAUAGCAUAGCUUCCUUAUUUAUAACAUGGAGGCAAUAAUAGUUCCCACUUCAUAAACAUGUGAGGAUUAAAUGAGUUCAUAUUUGUAA